AUGUUUGUUCUCUUUACGCCGAGCUUUCGCUACGGUUUGUUUGACGAUAUCGACCGCAGUAAUACAGUGACAGAAAGUUUCGUACUUUUAGCAUGACGAUACACCUGGAGGAAGCAAUAUGGCUUUAUCUAUUUUGUGGAUAUUAUUAACAGUGUUCCUUUUAAAUAAUGACAAUGGCAUCGUUUGUGAGGAUGUUUUAGGAGAAAUUACUGAUGAUUUUGAUUUCGAUGGAAUUCCCGGUGCGACACACGAAUUUAAAGUCGAGAUAUUCAGUGGAGCAGAGGAUUGCUUCUAUCUAAAAAUAGCAAGCGGGGCUAAACUACAUGUGUCUUUUGAGGUUUUAACUCCACAUGAAAUUAUAGAUUUUUAUUUUAAAGAUCCGUAUAAUAUGAUUGUAGAAUCACUGUUAUAUAAAGGUAAUGGUGGAAUAGAACAUGAUAUCAAUGUGGAAGGUAUAUAUUCCAUAUGUUUAGACAACACUUUUACUAGUUAUACCUCUAAAAUUGUGUAUUUAUACAUUGUAACAUUUAUACCUGAAGAGUGGGCGAAAUACGUCAAUGAAAUCGGCGAACUUCAUGGUUUAGCUGAAAAUUAUACGGAACUUUUAAGUGAUGUCCAGCUAUCUAUAACAGAGAUGAAAAGAUUACAAGCCCAGAGUCGUUUUAAUGUAGUGAAGGACUGGUAUCUUAUUAAAUCAAACAAUGAAUACAUAAAAACUUGGUCUAUUGCUCAAAGUAUUAUUAUUGUAGCAACUUCGUUAUUUACAGUGUUUUUUGUGCGAAGGCUUUUUAAAACAGAGGCGGUAACACCGACUAGUAAACCACGUGCCUAAUUAUAAGUUCAAUAAAUAAAUAAUUAUUUUGCAUAA
Long non-coding RNA from Patella vulgata (common limpet), 868 nucleotides. RefSeq lists it as uncharacterized. The transcript is spliced from 4 exons. Lineage: Eukaryota; Metazoa; Mollusca; Gastropoda; Patellidae. The record is from RefSeq and is a predicted model, not a curated record.